Molecule: ribosomal RNA, 267 nt
Filed under: Saccharomyces cerevisiae (brewer's yeast)
Lineage: Eukaryota; Fungi; Ascomycota; Saccharomycetes; Saccharomycetales; Saccharomycetaceae
Description: partial 18S ribosomal RNA
Rfam family: Eukaryotic small subunit ribosomal RNA
Source: RNAcentral
ACGAGACCUUAACCUACUAAAUAGUGGUGCUAGCAUUUGCUGGUUAUCCACUUCUUAGAGGGACUAUCGGUUUCAAGCCGAUGGAAGUUUGAGGCAAUAACNNGUCUGUGAUGCCNUUAGACGUUCUGGGCNCACGCGCGCUACACUGACGGAGCCAGCGAGUCUAACCUUGGCCGAGAGGUCUUGGUAAUCUUGUGAAACUCNNNNGUGCUGGGGAUAGAGCAUUGUAAUUAUUGCUCUUCAACGAGGAAUUCCUAGUAAGCGCAA